AUUAAAAGGCAACCUGGGAAGGGUGCUUCCAUCCCCCAGAGGCUUUUCAAGCGACCGGACCAAAAACGGAUGCUUGACCCGUUCCGGGGGGGGAAGUACAACCGGCAAAAGGUUGCUGGACUGACCCCCCCCGGGGGCGCUUUUGGUGGCCCAACGCCUUCCCUUUUCAACAUUUCCACGGUGCUGUUUAACUCCUUUUUUGAAAAGUCCUUUUUCAUCUUUAAGAUCAAUCAUAAAUGGGGAGGUAAUAGGUCUCCAGCCGAGUUUUUCAUCUUUAAGAUGAAAUUUAACCCCCCGAUUAGUUCAUGUUUUCCCUAAGGACCUCUACUGGGUGAAGGAGGUUCUCUGGGGGCGGGGCCUUCCGAUCUCGGUCGGGAUUUUUCGCCCUCUAGGACAGCCCGUUCCAGGGGCAUUUAAAUCCGGACCGAGCCGGGAAGCAUCCUCUCCAAAUUACAACUCGGACCCCGGAGGGUCCAGAUUUCAAAUAUGAGUUCUUGCCGCUUCACUUUCCGUUAAAGAGGCAAUCCGGGUGGGUUUCUUUUUUGGAAGUAAAAAUCGUAACAAGGUUUCCGUAGGUGAACCUGCGGAAGGAUCAUUACUGAGUGCGGACCCCUCGCGGGUCCAACCUCCCACCCGUGUCUCUUGAAUACCCUGUUGCUUUGGCGGGCCCACCGGGUCGCCCCGGUCGCCGGGGGGCACUGCGCCCCCGGGCCUGCGCCCGCCAGAGCGCUCUGUGAACCCUAAUGAAGAUGGGCUGUCUGAGUGUGAUUUUGAAUUAUCAAAACUUUCAACAAUGGAUCUCUUGGUUCCGGCAUCGAUGAAGAACGCAGCGAAAUGCGAUAAGUAAUGUGAAUUGCAGAAUUCCGUGAAUCAUCGAAUCUUUGAACGCACAUUGCGCCCCCUGGCAUUCCGGGGGGCAUGCCUGUCCGAGCGUCAUUUCUGCCCUCAAGCGCGGCUUGUGUGUUGGGUGUGGUCCCCCCGGUGUUGGGGGGACCUGCCCGAAAGGCAGCGGCGACGUCCCGUCUAGGUCCUCGAGCGUAUGGGGCUUUGUCACCCGCUCGGGAGGGGCCUGCGGGCGUUGGCCACCCACGAUAUUUUUUUACCGUUGACCUCGGAUCAGGUAGGAGUUACCCGCUGAACUUAAGCAUAUCAAUAAGCGGAGGAAAAGAAACCAACCGGGAUUGCCUCAGUAACGGCGAGUGAAGCGGCAAGAGCUCAAAUUUGAAAUCUGGCCCCUCCGGGGUCCGAGUUGUAAUUUGGAGAGGAUGCUUCGGGCUCGGUCCCCAUCUAAGUGCCCCUGGAACGGGCUGUCAUAGAGGGUGAGAAUCCCGUAUGGGAUGGGCGGCCGUGCCCGUGUGAAGCUCCUUCGACGAGUCGAGUUGUUUGGGAAUGCAGCUCUAAGCGGGUGGUAAAUUUCAUCUAAAGCUAAAUACUGGCCGGAGACCGAUAGCGCACAAGUAGAGUGAUCGAAAGAUGAAAAGCACUUUGAAAAGAGAGUUAAACAGCACGUGAAAUUGUUGAAAGGGAAGCGUUGGCCACCAGACGCGCCCGGGGGGGCUCAGCCGGCACGUGUGCCGGUGUACUCCCCCCCGGACGGGUCAGCAUCGGUUUGGGCGGUCGCUGAAAGGCUCUGGGAAUGUAGCACCCUCCGGGGUGCCUUAUAGCCCAGGGUGUCAUGCGGCCCGCCUGGACCGAGGUUCCGGCUUCCGCGAGGAUGCUGGCGUAAUGGUGGUCAACGGCCCGUCUUGAAACCCGGACCAAGGAGUCUAACAUCUAUUGCAAGUGUUCGGGUGUCAAACCCGUCCCGCCA
This 1810-nucleotide small RNA is filed under the name Talaromyces atroroseus. RNAcentral describes it as "eukaryotic LSU rRNA". The stretch from base 1107 to 1810 matches the Rfam family "Eukaryotic large subunit ribosomal RNA", at positions 1 to 717 of the family's 3401-position model. Lineage: Eukaryota; Fungi; Ascomycota; Eurotiomycetes; Eurotiales; Trichocomaceae. The record is from RNAcentral.